Molecule: long non-coding RNA, 9547 nt
Organism: Leopardus geoffroyi (Geoffroy's cat)
Lineage: Eukaryota; Metazoa; Chordata; Mammalia; Carnivora; Felidae
Exons: 3
Source: RefSeq, a predicted model, not a curated record
CCUGACCUGAGCCGAAGCCGGAUGCUCAACCGACUGAGCCACCCAGGUGACUCUAUAUUUACUUUGUUUUUAAAUAUGCAACAACGUGAAUCCCGGCUGACUUGUAGGGUGGGUGAUUGGUGUUUUCCUCGUGUAUGUUUCUCAAUUCUUUACAUGAGCAUAUUUAAUAUCCUGGAAGAAAAUAUUUUUUGAAAAAGCUUUGGGUUGCACUGGUUAAAAUGUGAUAACUUGAUUGAAAUACAAGUCUGUUAAAUCCAUAAAUACAGAUGCAAGAAAGACAUUUGUAAUUUUCCAGUGACGAGUGGAGAUAUUUGAAACCCCUUGGUGUUUUUUAAGACGGAAUUCUCUUCUACAGAAUUAAGUUCUCUUUGUUUAAAUCUGUUCUUGGUUUUCAAAUUGAAUAGAGUCCCUGGCACAUACCUGUGGUUCUCAUGAUGUAUGUGCAUGUGCUAACUUCAUUUAUAGACAGCAGGGAGAGACGGGGCCUCUAAUGCAUCUUUCCCAAUAAAAGGGCGUAGUCAGAAAAAUACUUAGUCUGAUAGUUUCGUAUAUGAAACUCGGUCACUUACGAUAGGUCCGCACGAAGGACAAGACUAAAGCUGUGGUAAAAUAAUUUAUAAGAUACACGCAGUCAUGUGCUUAUGAAGGAAGUAAUAAACCAGUGAAGACCGUUUGGUUCAGAUUUCCAAACCAGGAAACUGCGAUCUACAUCAGGCAGAGAGCACGUUAAUUCAAUGGAAAGGGUUUUCUUUAACUGAACUAUUUGUAGUGUGGACAGUCGAAAUGAUCUAUCUCUUUGAGCUUGAAACACAAGUUGUGCGUUUUAAGAAGUAAAAGGCAACACAGUGGAAGGUACAGAUAUCGUCAAAUACGGCAAGCGUCGCAGUGAAUGUGGGGGGACAUCACACACCUGCCCCCGUGUGCCUCCCUGUGUUUGCUCAUUGAGCCUGGGAAACUGAGACAGAGGUCAUAGUGGACCUCAGCACACCCUGAGCCAUGGGACCACAAGCGGUUUUUCCUCGGGACACAAGCAGCUCCUCCCUACAUGCAGGGGUCCCGGGUGAACGCUGCCCUUGCUUGGUAAGGUGCACAGCGACAGGCAGUCACUACCCUACCGAUGCCUUUGUGUUUGCAAAUUACUUGGGCAACUGGGAACACAAGAGAGAUGGGAUUAGGAAAUGAAGAAAUGCCCACGUGAGGUGGGGCCCCACGGUUUUGCCUGGCUUCUCCGUGGUCUUUGUUAUUCAAAUAUCCUGUUGUGUAAGUGCAAAGACAGGAAGUGAGUUCUACAAACCCUUACAACAACAGCAGUCUUGGGUUUCAGAUAAGUAGGUGUGCCUAGUGCUUCGGGAAUUGAUACAUAUUUAGGUUUUUUUGUUUGUUUUUUGAAAAUGCUGGAAAGUACUACAUUUUCUCUGGGCAAAACAUCUUUGGUAUUUCAAAAAAGCCCUGACAUUACUGUGUAAGUAGUCUCGUUAAUAACUGCCUCUUGGGCCUGUCCCAGACUUUAAUUGUUUAGCUUUGCGCUUUAUUUCUGUCUCUCUCAAAACACGGCCGGGUGUCUUCAGAGGUGAGAGAGAGGUGGAGCCAGUGAGCAGCACAGGGUAGGCUGUGCAUUGUUUUUGGCCCCGGGGCUGCUGGUUUUCCUGGGGAUCAGACCCCCUGGGCGUGUGUGCGGGGAGAGGGACCCCCUUGCGCUGUCACCCGCGGGGCUGGCUUUCUGCAGAAAGGGGGCUGCGGUGGGAGGGUUUCCUCUGCUGCUCAGUGCCCGCUCCUUCCUCUUUCAGGCCCAGAAGCCCAAGAACCUCCAUGUGAGCCUUAUUCCCCACUCUGUUCCCAUUUCCGUGCACUGGUUGUAUUUUGGAUUUCAGAGUUUGGAAAUCUAAACAUUUUCCCGCACUGAGGAAUACGCAAGGAUUUUGGUUCAGACUCCAAGUUAGGAAACACCUACGGAGUUGGUGUGUUCGUAAGAAAAACUGGAUGAAAUGCAAUAAAGUGGCGUUUUUUUGGUGGGGGGGGGGGGGUAUGGCUGUUACUCAUUUUAUCGACACACCGUAUUUUAAGUGAGCCUCCCAGGUCGUAGGAUUGGGAAGCGGCCCUCCUGAUUGUCCCGAACGAAACCUUGAACUGAGAAUAGGGAGUGUGGGAGUUUGGGCUUUUCCAGUAGUUUCUGAGCUCUGGACUCCGGGAUGGGGAAUGAGUUCCCGGCCCGGCUCGCCUCCGCCCCCUGCCUCCAGUGGGCCCAGAAGACCGUUUCCCCUUUCUGCUCCUCAAAUAAGCCUCGGCCUGGCCUCCCUGCUCGGCUUUACCCCCCGAGGCCAGCGGGCCGGUGAGCGAGUGCCAGUCUCCUGCUUGGACACAGUGAAUGUCCUCAAGCCUCAACAAAACGACUAACGCGUCUUUAAAGUUUCUCUUAGAAGGGUCACCACAUUCUGAGGAAGUUCAAAGAAUAUAAAGUCGAACGUUCGGGGAGGAAAUCGGCUACAUUUUGCUCUGGUGUUUUCAGGCGGGCGAUGGGCAUUUAGCGCAUUAAUUACGCAAGACCCGCUACAUUUUAAAAGUCAUUUGAAGAUUUGGGGAAGAGAUCCAAAGUGUUGCGAGACCGACGGCCUUUCCGACGGCCUUUCGUGUUGAAUCAAGACGCCUUCCACUCACAGAAGUGCUUCUGACCUAAGUGGAAAUUGAAUUCAGGCCCAGCAGCAGGUAAGAGGGCCUGGUCCGGGGCGUGGGGAGUCUUGGGGGGUUCUUUCUCCGUGGGUUUUGAGAGCAAAGUCGCCCUUCGGAGAGCACGACGCGGUGAACGCUGAUGUGACAGACCAAGCCUGGGAGGCCACAUCGCAAACACACGCCGGCCCGAAAUCCUUAUUAACGUCACUGAGAUCACUUCAAAUUUAUGGUAUCGACAGCGAUGCGGAUAAUGAUCACACAAGGGCCGUAACGACAGGACCCGGCAAGGAGGGUCUGUUUUCUUCAUCUGGAUCUUUAUUUUCUGUAACACGUGAGAAAAUCGAAUCGAGGGAUGGGCUUUCGUGGUUGCCAGGAAACAGGUAUUUACGUUGUGAAGAUAAGUGUUUGUCAAAUAUCAGUCAUUUCAACCACCCUUUGGGCAUCUUCCGCUCCGCAGAGGUGCCCGCUGAUAAUGGCCUGCUGAUCUGCCAGCAACAUCACGAAGAGAAGUUUCUGGCGAGGGUUCCUUUCUGUCGCAUAUAGAUGUCCAGGCCUCUGUCAACUCUGCACCAGCCAAAGCCCUGAAACGAUCUGGGGGAAGCCAAUAUUCCAAGAAAGGCUUUUCCUCAGGAGAAAACCCGGUUUCACACCUGGGUUGAGGAUCUUUGUCAGGACGAGCCCUCUCGGUCUUUCCACCGAGAGGGAGCCGCUUGCCAGAAAAAGCGAAUUAACUGCGUUAAGCUUCGAAAAGGAAAAUUAAGUGGGCUUUAGCAUUUUUUCAACCUGUUUUCUGUUACCUGGUGACACCUUUUAAGGGAAGUUAAAAACACUGUGGUUCUUCAACACCUAAGUGGAAAAUCGGGGUAGAAACUAUCUUCAGCCACGGAACAACUGCUGUCUCAGAAAGUCUCUAACGUCCAUAAUUCUAUUGAGUACAUGCCAAGAAACACCCAGCAAUUGUCAAGAUUAACUGGUAAAUCAAUCCUGUCUUGAAAAAUCACUGAAACGCCUAUUGCCAGGCAUCUGACCCUCUCCUACCCAAUGUGUUGCUGAUGUGGGGUUGUCCACACGGCCUUGGGGUCCCCAAACCUUAAGUCAAAUAGGACUACAAGCUGAUUAGCGCCCAGCAGGAUGCACACCAGUGACAGGAAAGUGGCAAUCUGCACAGAAUUCGCUUAGGCUUCGCGAGAACAGAGACUGAGAGGCGUGCCCUGACCACUGGGCCCGAAAGACAGGGAUCAUGUCCCCACUAGCCUCAGAUGUCAACUACGAUCAGCUUCUCCUUCCAAAGUAACAAAAUAAAUGAUGAAUUAACACUUGGGUGUCACCAUGUACUUUCUGCAUUUAGAAAUCUGGGUAGCUUGCCGAUCCGAAAAAACGUGACGGACACCUUUAAAUGGAAAUGUCUAGGUACCGCCUUCUCAAAUAUUUAUAGUCUUGCAAGCUUUUCAUGUCCCUUAGAGACUGAUCAGCGGUCCUUUCACCAGCAUCAAAUACAUCAUGAGAAAAGAAAUAAAAACAAAAGACGCAAAUGAGACCGAGAAAAGCAGAACUUAGAAGCUGUCUGUCUGUCUGAUUCUCGGACGGUUGCCUAGGCAGUUUUGUUAUUUUAGAAACCACACGAAAGAACUGUGUAUUAGUUAACUUAUUCAUUCUGGAGAGAAAUGGCCCCAGCCAGUGGCUGUCUCACGGCGUCAGGGAAAGCCAGGUCAUCAUUCCCCCGCACAGGACGGCGGGGAACAGGCUGUCCGCGCAGAGCCAGGGGCUUCUCCUGGGGUCCUCACUGGUGGGCUCUCGGUGCCUCUCUCGGCUGCUUUAUUCACCAAGAAGAGCACGAUGUGGGGUCGAGGCAGUGACGUCCCAGUAGGAGCACGAAACCUUCCACAUUUCCACCGCCUAGAGCUCCGCGUGGGCUGGCUCGGAGCCGAAAGCCGAGUGGCCCCGCAGGGUGACGUGUCUGCGGAGGGACAGCGCGCCUGCCCCCGGAGUGCGGGCGUGCACCUGCAGCCUCACUGCGGGCAGCGACGGGGAGCCCUGCCCCGCCCGGCACCCUGGCACCAGGAUCGUGUGUUCGGCUGGAGUCCUAGCCUCACCUAGCCGGACUUUCCACGGGGCCCGGCUGCCGGCUGCAUCACCAUAGCAAUGGACAAACACGGUGAGAGUCGGCAGGGCCCCGCAGCUGCGGAAACCCUGCCCUCCUGGCCGCCCCGCGGGAGGGGCCGGGCUAAUUUCCAUGCGGCGUUUGGGGAUGUUGGGAUUCAGAGAUCAAAGAAGGUCAAAAGGGGGCCGUUGGGAUGGCAGAUAUUUAUUGUGUUUAAUAUAAAUACAAACGUGUCCAAGAAGAGAAACUGAAACCUUAACAGGCCUGUGGAUGGCGUUUGGUAAAUAGAAAAGAACACAUCUUGAAAGCAGGCGGCUGGUGAAAUUGACCGACACUGCAGAAGCUGUCGCGAUUUAAACUGGGACAAAUUAAGACAGCAACAAUCUUCACCGACAUCGAACAUACACAUUAGUUGAAAACCCUGAGGAAGACGUCUAGCUGCGCUUGAGAAACGCUUCGGGAAACCUUCUGGCCACAAAUGCAAACACAGCCCAGCGCACUUUAGAAAUUUCUGGUCGCCCUCCUUAGCUGCGCUCGUUGUAUUAUUAAGAGUGUUUGUUUCAUACCAUUAACUGUGCAGUCAAGUUGGAGCCCGUUAAACAGCAUUAAUUUGACAAAUUGUGGGAUGGGGGUGUGAGUGCCGGCUGGAGAAAGGGGCUUUGUGUUUCGGGGUCUCCAUUAGUGAAACAAUAAAUAAGGCUAUGGUAAAACUGAUAUGAUGGGAAAUGACUUCUAUUCAGUUAACUCAAUUAUUAGUGCUAAUUGGGGCCAGGUGAAGCAUGGAUAAUUGAAAUUCACAGAUAAUCCAAAAACCUCUAUUUAACCAAUAACUUCAAACUUCUUCCCCAUCAAACCAAUUACCGGAGGAGCUAACAAAUAGAAAAAAUGGAUUAAAUUGAAUUUUGCCUCCCCAAAGAUUACCACUAUGAUGUCUUUCUAUUGAUUAAUCCACAACAAGAGCCAAGGGUUGACUGCAUUCAAGAGACUAAAUUACAGACGGUCCCCAACAAUUGAAAAGGAAAAGGCUACGUCCCAAAGUUGAUGACUCCGCUACCUGAAGCUCGGAAUGCUUUUUCCGCAGAGCGCCAUAUUCCUAGGGGCUCUGAGGCAGCGCCCAGGGGCCAACUGAUGACCUAGUGACACUGGAAAUAUAUUUAGCAUCCUAACUCCUUUAAUGAAUCCCCUCUGAAUCCUGAAGCCUUAUCCUCCAGCCCCUAAAUCUCUCUGAGCCCUAAAUCUAAGGGUUUUUUUUAGUUGAGGUAAAUUCACACAAGGUGAACAACCAUUGUGAGUUGAGUGUGCACAUCAGUGACAUCUAGAACAUUCACGAGGCUGGGCGACCACCCGCCUCUAUCAACUGUCUCAACAUUUUCAUCGCCCCCGAGAGAAACCCCUUUGGGACCCUCAGCAGCCACUGCCCGUUGUCCCCUCCCCCCAGCCCCUGGCGACCACAGAUCGACUCACUGGAGCUAUGGGUUCCCCUGUUCUGGACAUUCCAUGUCAACGGAAUCAUGCAACAUGUGGUCUUUCGUGUCUGGCUUCUUUCACUGCCGUAAUCUAUUUAAGGUUCAUCCGUGUGAUCGCAUGUGUGAGGACGUCGUUCCCUUUUAUUGCCAAGUGACUCUCCGUGGUCUGGACAGACCACACGUUCUUGACCCACCUGUCAGCUGACGGACGCUUGGGUUGUCUCCAUCUCGCGGCCACGUGCAACCGUCACCCCUAAGGUUGCACCCUGACAUGCCCUGCCCUCGGAGGAAAUGGGAAGUGGAGGGGGAAGGGUGGGCAGAAGCUUGGGAAGCAGGGGGGCCCCUGUGGCGGAGCAUGGGGAGGCUCCUCCCGUGCACCGGGCCGCGGCACUCCCAGGCGCUGGCGUCUGGGGCGGGCAGCGUCCCUCCCGCAGGGCUGCCGUCGGCAGGGACAUUCCGCCAGAAGCAUCGACAGUGAGGGAUAAUUCGAGACAGCGUCAACCAUGGUGGAGAACACAGGGAGACAUGGAACCCGUCAGAGAGGGGCACGAGGGAGGCCGGAAGAGGCCCGCUGGGGGCAGGUACCUCCUUCAGAGUCGGGUGUCGCUGGUUCCCAAGACGGAUCACAGAACUGGACUGACCCAGCGAGAAAUCUGGCAAGUGGUGUUGGCCUGUUCUCCACUUUUCUGAAAACGCAGGCGCCAGGAGAGGUUUCCAUAGCAGCUUCCAAAUUGGACACCAAACUUCACUCAGCAGGACAUUGAUAGUUUUCCAUUUCUCCUUUUCCACGUUUCAUCACUUUUCUUGGCGUCCUACAGUUUGUAAAAGGUACAGAUGGCGGCCGCCAUGCUUGCGGGCGCUGAAGGACCCGGUCAAGGUAAGGACGGCCCCUGCUGGGUCUGCUCAGUCCCAGCCAGGCUGCAGGAGGAGUUGGGGGGCAGCCAAGGGGUGCCCCCAGAUGUGCGCCUGCCUUUCUCGUGCAGUGAGUCAAGUGCUGUAGAUGCCAGGGGCCCCCGCUUCCUCAUGACAGUGGCCAGGCUGGUGGGGGAGCCCCUGGUGUCCCCUCCAUUUUCUUAGUGACACAGUGGGCAAGACCUGUCCCUCUGCCGCUGCAGGGACGCCUGUGUUUCUCAAGUGCACGGGGCUGAGUUCCAACUCACUACCUCCCGGAGCCUCCAGGGUUCCAGACCCCCUUCCGGUCUUACGCGCAGGUCGUCCCUGGUUCGCCCUCUGUCAGGACUGGGCGGGACAGUGCGGCGGGACACUUGGGACAAAUAGUUAGCAGGCCGAUCCUGGAGGGCCUGGCUCCUGCCCUCCUCAGUUACCUGCCUUGCCGUUGGCCCACGCGGACCCUGAGCCAACCGGCCCCUUUCUGAAGCCCAAACCAGGUCCUGGGAGCUGUGGACAAGUCUGUCCCCUGGACAGACUACAGACCCAAGCUCCGCUUCUGGGCAGCCCCAAACGGCCGUAGUCAUCCUUUGUUUCUGCCUCUUCGCCCACCUCGCUGAAUCUCCGUCAGUCUCCAGAGAAGUCUCCGUGCCUUCCCCCGUCCCACCAUCCUGCCCAAUGACGCGUCUGCAGGUGACACGCUGGCACGUUGUUAACAGGAACAGAGUUGACACCAACUUUUACUCUCCUCUCUCCUCCUCCGAAUCACCUGCCUUUCUCUCCCGGCCUUGAGGGGCGGCGCACCCCUCUACUGCUGAGGUCAGUCUGUCCUGGGUCCUUUUCACCAUCAUCGUCAUCUAUGGUCAGGUCAUUUCCCACCCACUCAGUUUUUAUUCUUCUCUUGGUCGACACGCGUGUCCACAUUCUUCCAGCUGGAAAACCGGCCACAAGGACCGGGGAGGGUGUCCCAAAGCCCCUGAGCGCCCGGCGCCUCCUUACCCCGCGAUCCGGCUGCGGAGACCGCACUACCGCGUGAACCGUGUGGCGGACGGACGGCAGGUGCUAAGGAGGAGGUUCACGCAGGAAGUGUGCGUGGGUGCGCGGGACGCCCCUCAGAACACACGCGCGUGCACCCCGAAGAUGACACCCAGGCCGCUGACCCAGGAGCAGCUCCUACUGCCUUCCUUGUGCCCCGUCCGUUUCCCGUACUUUCCGUGAGCAACACAUGAACACACAGCGACUUUUAGCGAGCACUGAGCUAAGAGCUGUAGUGCCUUGGCUCGUUUAACUUUUCCAGCUGCUCUGAGGAUUGUCCCCUUACGACCCCUGUCUUAUAGACAAGGGAGCUGAUGCUUUGAGCGCCCGUGAGGCCUCCGGAGCCGACCGGCCCCUCCUCCCCCCCCCCCCCCCCCGGUGCUCUCACACCUGUGGCUGUGAAGCGGGAGCGGGUCCCCAUGGCCAGGGCUGGCGGGACGUACACCCAGAAGAAUUGAAGGAGACGGGAUGGGCGGCAGCAGAAGGUGGGCUGAAGAGCCCUGAGCGGGGAAAGCCCUCACACGGACCCGUCUCUGGGAGGCGUCCUCAGCUGUAGGCUGUCACCACCCUGGAGGGGUGAGGGGUGAGGGGCUUCAGUUCCGAGGGGGAUCUGGAUGGCCCGCUGUGUGCCCACGACAAACACCCACGGACUCUCGAGGGCACAUUCAAAUCUCACUUCCCCCAGGGAGCGUUCCUCGAUUACCCUGAUCAGGAUGGGCCCUAACGACCCCACAAAAAUACCUUGUGCCCGCUGGGAGAUCACCUUCUCCCUUCCGCCCAUCGGGCCCUGGUGAUCUCCAAUCUGUCUUCUCUCCUGGACAUCGCCUACAAGAAGAACCACGGUACGUGUCCUUCUGUGCCCGGCCUCUUUCACUGGGCAGAGUUUGUCAAGGUUUUGGGUCUCCCCCCAAAUUUAUGUGUUGAACCCUUAACCCCCGGUGUGAUGGUAUGAGGAGGUGGGGCACUGGGAGGUGAUUGGGUCAUGAGGGGGAUCGGUGCCCUCGUAAACCACGGGGAGCCGUGGGAUUUCUGUCCGCUUGGGGAGCACACCGCGAGGAGGCACCAUCUACAGGCCAGGAAGAUGGUCUUCACCAGAUCCGGGCUCUGCCGGCACGUCCCUAUCAGACUUCCAGCCCCCAGAACUGUGACAGAUACGUGUCUGUUUGUUCAAGCUGCCGUGCCUGGGAUACUGUGCUAGGGACGCCUGAGUAGAUUAAGCAGGUGCAUCCUGGGAAGCGGUUCGGGACCUGGGAGCAGCUACAGAUGCACAGCCACCUUCAGUAGCAAGAGUGAUGGUUAUCAUAUAAAAUUCAUCAUCCAGGAGCACCUGGGUGGCUCCCUCAGUUGAGCGUCCGACUCUUGGUUUUGGCUCAGGCUAGGAUCUCGCGGU